UACGGAGGGUGCGAGCGUUGUCCGGAAUCAUUGGGCGUAAAGGGCGCGUAGGUGGCCCGGUCAGUCUUUGGUGAAAGCGCGGGGCUCAACCCUGCGUCGGCCAGGGAUACUGCCGCGGCUCGAGCACUGUAGAGGCAGGCGGAAUUCCGGGUGUAGCGGUGGAAUGCGUAGAGAUCCGGAAGAACACCGGUGGCGAAGGCGGCCUGCUGGGACAGUGCUGACGCUGAAGCGCGACAGCGUGGGGAGCAAACAGG
This 254-nucleotide ribosomal RNA is filed under the name uncultured bacterium. RNAcentral's name for it is "partial 16S ribosomal RNA". It matches the Rfam family "Bacterial small subunit ribosomal RNA", at positions 524 to 776 of the family's 1533-position model. The record is from RNAcentral.